Molecule: ribosomal RNA, 253 nt
Filed under: uncultured bacterium
Lineage: Bacteria
Description: partial 16S ribosomal RNA
Rfam family: Bacterial small subunit ribosomal RNA
Source: RNAcentral
UACGUAGGUGGCAAGCGUUGUCCGGAAUCAUUGGGCGUAAAGCGCGCGCAGGCGGUCCUUUAAGUCUGAUGUGAAAGCCCACGGCUCAACCGUGGAGGGUCAUUGGAAACUGGGGGACUUGAGUGCAGGAGAGAAGAGUGGAAUUCCACGUGUAGCGGUGAAAUGCGUAGAGAUGUGGAGGAACACCAGUGGCGAAGGCGACUCUUUGGCCUGUAACUGACGCUGAGGCGCGAAAGCGUGGGGAGCAAACAGG